RNAcentral lists this unclassified non-coding RNA (306 nucleotides) under plant metagenome. Its description in RNAcentral is "partial contains 5.8S ribosomal RNA, internal transcribed spacer 2, and large subunit ribosomal RNA". The stretch from base 1 to 105 matches the Rfam family "5.8S ribosomal RNA", at positions 50 to 154 of the family's 154-position model. The record is from RNAcentral.
GAAAUGCGAUAAGUAGUGUGAAUUGCAGUAUUCAGUGAAUCAUCGAAUCUUUGAACGCACAUUGCGCCCCUUGGUAUUCCAUGGGGCAUGCCUGUUCGAGCGUCAUUUGUACCUUCAAGCUUUGCUUGGUGUUGGGUGUUUGUCUCGCCUCUGCGCGCAGACUCGCCUCAAAACAAUUGGCAGCCGGCGUAUUGAUUUCGGAGCGCAGUACAUCUCGCGCUUUGCACUCAUAACGACGACGUCCAAAAAGUACAUUUUUUACACUCUUGACCUCGGAUCAGGUAGGGAUACCCGCUGAACUUAAGC